Non-coding RNA from Echinops telfairi (small Madagascar hedgehog), 1404 nucleotides. NCBI's taxonomy places the organism in Eukaryota, Metazoa, Chordata, Mammalia, Afrosoricida, Tenrecidae. The record is from the annotation of a RefSeq genome assembly.
AUGGGUCGUGGUCAAAGGGCCAGUCUGGGGUCUACAGAACCAGUGGACAUAACCUGGAACACAGGCUCCCUGAAUAGAACUGUGGUGGUCUUCCCCUCCACCUUCCACAAGGCCUCCAGUCACUACAGUACCGUGAGUCUGGUGACCGUAUCGGGGGAGCUCGCCAAGGAGAAGGUCACUUGCAGUGUGGAGCACAAACCAUCCAAUUCCAGCAUCCACAAGAACGUCACAGUAUGUGCCACUUCACCCUCCGUGAAGCUCUUCCACACGGCCUGCCACCCUGGGGGUGACUCCCAGUCCACCAUCCAUCUGUUGUGCCUCAUCACCGGUUUCACCCCGGGGGACAUUAAGGUCAGUUGGCUGGUGAAUGGGGAGGAGGCCCAGGACCUCUACCCAAACACUGCCAAGCCCAAGAUGGAGGGCAAGCUGGCCUCCACCUACAGUGAGCUCAACAUCACCCAGGACCAAUGGUUGCAUGAGAAGACCUACACCUGCCGUGCCACCAUCCAUGGCACAUCCUAUCACGCCAGUGCCCGGAGAUGCAUAGAUUCAGAAGCCCGGGGAGUGAGCGUCUACCUCCUCCCACCCAGCCCCAUUGACCUGUACAUCAACAAUUCGACGAAGCUCAUCUGCUUGGUGAUUGACUUGGCCAGUAAAAAGGACUUGCGUGUGACCUGGUCCUGGGACAGGAAGAAGUCUUUGAAUAUUAGCCGACUAGUUUUCAAGGACCAACUAAAUGCAACAACCACUGCCAUGUCCACGCUGCCUGUGGACUCCAAGGACUGGAUCCAGGGCGAGACUUACCGCUGCACGGUGUCCCAUCCUGACCUGCCCAGGGAAAUAGAGCAGUCAAUUACCAAGGUCCAGGGCAAGCGUUUGCCCCCCGAGCUCUUCUUGUCCAAGACACUCAAUCAGGAAGAUGAAGGCAAGAUAACCCUGACCUGUCUAGCCCAGAACUUCUUCCCUGCCGACAUCACAGUGCAGUGGCUGAGAAACCAGGCACUCGUGCAGCCAGACCAGGGCCACUUCCACACCACGGGGCCCUACCCGACCAGCAGCUCUCGCCGUGCCUUCUUCACCUUCAGCCUCCUGGAGGUCAAGAAGUCUGCCUGGGAGAACAACAAGUUCACCUGCCGCGUGGUCCACGAGGCCCUGUUGAAUGGGAGGAUUCUUGAGAAAUCGAUAUCGAAAGAUUCCGAGGUGGACCUUCAAGACCUGUGUGUGGAAGAGGAUGAGAGCAAGGAGCUGGAGGAAUUGUGGACCGGCACCUGCAUCUUUAUCACUCUCUUUUUGCUCAGCGUGAGCUAUGGUGCCACCGUCACUCUCUUCAAGGUACAUUGGGUCUUCUCAGCUGUGGCCCAGAAGGAGCUCCAGGACUCCCAUGAUUACAGCAACAUCCUGUAG